UCGAGCCUCUCUGCAGCCUCGAAGUUUUGCUUUGCAGAUCUAUCGUUCUUGCGCGAUAGAUCUGUUUCUCUGCUUGUCUAAUCAUAUAGAUCGCUUCUCGAUCUACAAUUUGAUAUCGGUUUUGGUGAAUUCGAGGUCAUCGAGAUUAUCUUCUGUACAUACUGGUAUCUGAUUUGUGUUUUUGCCAUAGAUCGAUGCUUCUUACAUGUUUUUCUUGCAUUUUUAUUACAUAUGUUUUAUUGUUUUCCGUUUUCGUGUAAGAUUUGUCAACAUAGUAGAUUCAAAUUUACCUGUUAUCUGAGUUUAUUUCAGGGAUUGCGAUCUGAGAUAUUUGUCCUUAGAGAUGGCGUAUUCUCUAUCAGAUCUUUGUUCUGACUUGGAGUCGUUUCCCGAUUGGCGCGGGGAUAUUACUCGGGGUGUGAUAGCGGAUGAUACAGCUGCUGAGCAUCUGAGGGGACGGAGUCUUCAACAUAUUGAUGGAUUUAUGUAAUCUGGGGAUGCGAAUCGAAUCAAAGGAAAGGUGCCUCUUCAUUGUUAGAAAAAAGAUGUAUAAGACAUCGGGACCAAGGCCUAACUUAUUUGGUCUGUGUUUCGGUUGUUCUUUGUCAUCAGGCCUUUGCCAUGACAGGUGCGCUUGCAUGGCAGGUCACAAACAAUAAUAAAAAAAAUAUAUUUUUUGUUCGAGGGGGGGUUCGCACGGGGAUUUGCCCGGGUUCUCCCCUCCGGUGUGCCGUGUCCUGCUUUCUCUCUCUCUGUGUUUAUUCUUCUUGAUCUCUCCUACACAAGGAAAUCUGAGCAGCAGCAACGGCAGAUCCUGUGAGAUCUAGGCGCUAAAGGUACAUAUUACCAAGCAUACAAAGUUGAGUUUUAUUAUAAAUUAGCCUUGUGCAAUCCCAUUCCUUUUCUUUUUAGUUAUGGGAUGCAGCACAAAAGGCGCCUUAAUUCAGCCUUUCUUUUUAAAUACCAAUUAACUACAUAUAUAUCCUGUGAUCGUAUCAUCAUCCCUAAUGCCUUUAUUCCCGAAAUUAUAAAUUGAGUCAAAAAAAGGGCAUUGAUUUUGCCGGCCCCGGCUCCUACAUGGUUUUCGAUAUUUAAAAAUAUUGUUAUUAAUGAUUAAAGUACCUGAAAUGAUUAAGCAUGGUAUUUGGUAUUUGGUAUUUGACAGUUCGCUUUGAGGAAUUUUGCCAACAUUCGUCACAAUUUUUCGAGGUAAAGAAACCAAAAAAUGGUGUUCAAGAAUUUUAGAUGGUUCUGUGCGUUUUAC
RNAcentral lists this long non-coding RNA (1264 nucleotides) under Vitis vinifera (wine grape). RNAcentral describes it as "long non-coding RNA (VVIN_LNC001170)". Lineage: Eukaryota; Viridiplantae; Streptophyta; Magnoliopsida; Vitales; Vitaceae. The record is from RNAcentral.